Numida meleagris (helmeted guineafowl) is the source of this 1701-nucleotide long non-coding RNA. RefSeq lists it as uncharacterized. NCBI's taxonomy places the organism in Eukaryota, Metazoa, Chordata, Aves, Galliformes, Numididae. The record is from RefSeq and is a predicted model, not a curated record. The transcript has 2 exons.
UCCUUGUGCUGUAGAGAAUGUCUUAGGUCAUGAUUCUGGCUCCUUGAAUUUCAGCUUUUUAUUGAUGUUAAAUCUAUCUUUAUUUCCUUUUAGAAUGUUUGUUACAUAAACUCAAUUAUCUGUUGAAGUUUUAUUCCAUUUCAGAUUAGCUGUGCUGUGUGUGCAGAGACUGGAGAUAUUAGUAGACAGCCAGGCGUAGUGUUACGCAAGUGCGGAUGCAGCAGUUUGAUGACUGCUGGGACAGUGAAGAAACGCAGAACUGUGCCUGCCAGGUGGAGCUCAAGGUUUUCCACGGACUGAGUGGCAGAGAAACAGAGCGACACAGCCCGCAGCCCGCCUCGCCCUGCCCGGGUGGCGACGCUCCGUUCUCUGGCGCCCCCCAGGGGCGAGCUCCGCGCGGCUCAGAGCUAUUGGUCUCCUGCUGGACAGAGCCUACGGGGCCCACGGACUGAGAGCAUCGGAUCUUAAAACCCCCCUCAGACAACUCGUGCGACCUCGUGAGCCCCGCACUAUUCUCAGCAGGCAGCAACUCACACUGCCGCUGUUGGCCUUGUAAAAGCUGACCAACUGGAAAGCAGCUUUGCAGAGAAGGAGCUGUGGGUCCUGGUGAACAUCAAGUUGAGCGCAAGCCAGCAGUGUGCCCUUGCCACAAAGAAGGCAGAUGGGCUGCAUUUGGAAAAAUAUUGCCAGCAGGUUGAAGGAGGUGAUCCUUCCCCUGUGCUCAAAAUUGGUGACGUCCAACCUGUGUCCAGUUCUGGGAUUCUCAGCAUAGGAGAGGAUGGACAUACUGUAAAGAGUCCCAUGAAGAGCCACUAAAAUGGUUAAGGGGUUGGAGCAUCUUUCAGAAGAGGAAAGGCUGAAAGAAAUGGGACUCUUCACCCUGGCAAAGAGAAGGCUCACAGGGGAUUUCAUCAGUGUAUACCAAUAUCUGAAGGGCGAGGGCAAAGGUGAUGCUCACCGGCAGAACAAGAGGCAAUGGGUACAAACUGAAACAUGUAAGUUUCUGCCUUCAACAUCAGGAGGGUCCCUGUGAACUGGAACAGGUAGUCCUGAGAGGUGGUGGAGUCUCUGUCCUUGGAGAUAGUCAAUGUUUGUCUCAGCAUGGUCCUGGACAACUGACUCUAGGUGUCCCUUCUUGAGCAGGGGGUUUGAAUAAGAUGACCUCCAGGAGGUCCCUUCCAGCCUCAACCAUUCUGACAUUCUGUGAUUUUGGUCUGAUAGGUAUCAGGUUUUGAGUCAGGGUUCAAGACUACCAUCUUUUACUGUUAGUUCUUCAACUAGCAUAUUGUGUCACUCUCACGAACAUAACUGAACUUCUUUUCUCAUCUCUAUAUUAGAUUUUCAUAUUAGAUUUUCAAGCCAGGACUACCUAUGGACUGUCCAGGUUAAUGUCUAAGCAGUGUCAUUACUAUUUAGUGUAGGUAAUGGUUACAAAAAACUAGUAACUGAAAGCCAGUGUGUAAACUUAAGUAGGCAGAAUAUGACUGCCUGUGUUGUCUCAUGGUUCUUUCAGAAUUGAUCAACCUAUGAAUUAUAUUCUUUGUAAGAAAAAUGACACAAAUGGAAAUAAUAUAACACUUAGAAUCAAACCGUAUUAAAAUUGUAAGAUGGGAAAACUACAAAAUAUCUACUGAUGUAAUGCUUGUCACUGAGUGUCUUCCUUUCAUGGACAGUGGAUUCCGAAUAAACUAUAGAAAAAUA